This 585-nucleotide ribosomal RNA is filed under the name uncultured bacterium. RNAcentral describes it as "partial 16S ribosomal RNA". It matches the Rfam family "Bacterial small subunit ribosomal RNA", at positions 355 to 937 of the family's 1533-position model. The record is from RNAcentral.
UGGGGAAUUUUGGACAAUGGGGGAAACCCUGAUCCAGCCAUCCCGCGUGUGCGAUGAAGGCCUUCGGGUUGUAAAGCACUUUUGGCAGGAAAGAAACGUCGCGGGUUAAUACCCCGCGGAACUGACGGUACCUGCAGAGUAAGCACCGGCUAACUACGUGCCAGCAGCCGCGGUAAUACGUAGGGUGCAAGCGUUAAUCGGAAUUACUGGGCGUAAAGCGUGCGCAGGCGGUUCGGAAAGAAAGAUGUGAAAUCCCAGAGCUUAACUUUGGAACUGCAUUUUUAACUACCGGGCUAGAGUGUGUCAGAGGGAGGUGGAAUUCCGCGUGUAGCAGUGAAAUGCGUAGAUAUGCGGAGGAACACCGAUGGCGAAGGCAGCCUCCUGGGAUAACACUGACGCUCAUGCACGAAAGCGUGGGGAGCAAACAGGAUUAGAUACCCUGGUAGUCCACGCCCUAAACGAUGUCAACUAGCUGUUGGGGUCUUCGGACCUUGGUAGCGCAGCUAACGCGUGAAGUUGACCGCCUGGGGAGUACGGUCGCAAGAUUAAAAGCUCAAAUGAAUUGACGGGGUCAUAGCUGUUUCC